GACGAACGCUGGCGGCGUGCUUAACACAUGCAAGUCGAACGAUGAAGCCCAGCUUGCUGGGUGGAUUAGUGGCGAACGGGUGAGUAACACGUGAGUAACCUGCCCUUGACUCUGGGAUAAGCGCUGGAAACGGCGUCUAAUACCGGAUACGACCUGCCCCGGCAUCGGGUGCGGGUGGAAAGUUUUUCGGUCAAGGAUGGACUCGCGGCCUAUCAGGUAGUUGGUGAGGUAAUGGCUCACCAAGCCGACGACGGGUAGCCGGCCUGAGAGGGUGACCGGCCACACUGGGACUGAGACACGGCCCAGACUCCUACGGGAGGCAGCAGUGGGGAAUAUUGCACGAUGGGCGAAAGCCUGAUGCAGCAACGCCGCGUGGGGGAUGACGGCCUUCGGGUUGUAAACCUCUUUUAGUAGGGAAGAAGGGCUUCGGCUUGACGGUACCUGCAGAAAAAGCACCGGCUAACUACGUGCCAGCAGCCGCGGUAAUACGUAAGGUGCAAGCGUUGUCCGGAAUUAUUGGGCGUAAAGAGCUCGUAAGCGGUUUGUCGCGUCUGCUGUGAAAACCCGAGGCUCAACCUCGGGCCUGCAGUGGGUACGGGCAGACUAGAGUGCGGUAGGGGAGAAUGGAAUUCCUGGUGUAGCGGUGGAAUGCGCAGAUAUCAGGAGGAACACCGAUGGCGAAGGCAGUUCUCUGGGCCGUUACUGACGCUGAGGAGCGAAAGCGUGGGGAGCGAACAGGAUUAGAUACCCUGGUAGUCCACGCCGUAAACGUUGGGAACUAGAUGUGGGGACCUUUCCACGGUCUCCGUGCCGCAGCUAACGCAUUAAGUUCCCCGCCUGGGGAGUACGGCCGCAAGGCUAAAACUCAAAGGAAUUGACGGGGGCCCGCACAAGCGGCGGAGCAUGCGGAUUAAUUCGAUGCAACGCGAAGAACCUUACCAAGGCUUGACAUAUACCGGAAACUUCCAGAAAUGGUUGCCCCGCAAGGUCGGUAUACAGGUGGUGCAUGGUUGUCGUCAGCUCGUGUCGUGAGAUGUUGGGUUAAGUCCCGCAACGAGCGCAACCCUCGUUCUAUGUUGCCAGCACGUCAUGGUGGGAACUCAUAGGAGACUGCCGGGGUCAACUCGGAGGAAGGUGGGGAUGACGUCAAAUCAUCAUGCCCCUUAUGUCUUGGGCUUCGCGCAUGCUACAAUGGCCGGUACAAAGGGCUGCGAUACCGUAAGGUGGAGCGAAUCCCAAAAAGCCGGUCUCAGUUCGGAUUGAGGUCUGCAACUCGACCUCAUGAAGUCGGAGUCGCUAGUAAUCGCAGAUCAGCAACGCUGCGGUGAAUACGUUCCCGGGCCU
Molecule: ribosomal RNA, 1344 nt
Filed under: uncultured bacterium
Lineage: Bacteria
Description: bacterial SSU rRNA
Rfam family: Bacterial small subunit ribosomal RNA
Source: RNAcentral